This 24-nucleotide non-coding RNA is filed under the name Arabidopsis thaliana (thale cress). The record is from RNAcentral. Lineage: Eukaryota; Viridiplantae; Streptophyta; Magnoliopsida; Brassicales; Brassicaceae.
GACGAGCUGACUUGUACCGAUGAG